This 318-nucleotide ribosomal RNA is filed under the name uncultured bacterium. Its description in RNAcentral is "bacterial SSU rRNA". It matches the Rfam family "Bacterial small subunit ribosomal RNA", at positions 28 to 326 of the family's 1533-position model. The record is from RNAcentral.
AGCGAACGCUGGCGGCGUACUUAACACAUGCAAGUCGAACGGGGAUCAUCGGGUUAGCAAUAACUCGGUGGUCCUAGUGGCGCACGGGUGAGUAACACGUGGGUAACCUGCCCUGGAGACCGGGAUACCCCCUCGGAAAGGGGGCGUAAUACCGGAUACGUUCCCUGGAUCGAGAGGUCGUGGGGAGGAAAGGUGGCGAAAGCUGCCGCUCUUGGAGGGGCUCGCGGCCUAUCAGCUAGUUGGCGGGGUAACCGGCCCACCAAGGCUAUGACGGGUAGCUGGUCUGAGAGGACGACCAGCCACACGGGGACUGAGACA